This 253-nucleotide ribosomal RNA is filed under the name uncultured bacterium. RNAcentral's name for it is "partial 16S ribosomal RNA". It matches the Rfam family "Bacterial small subunit ribosomal RNA", at positions 524 to 776 of the family's 1533-position model. The record is from RNAcentral.
UACGGAGGGGGCUAGCGUUGUUCGGAAUUACUGGGCGUAAAGCGCGCGUAGGCGGCUUUGUAAGUUAGAGGUGAAAGCCCGGAGCUCAACUCCGGAACUGCCUUUAAGACUGCAUCGCUAGAACGAUGGAGAGGUGAGUGGAAUUCCGAGUGUAGAGGUGAAAUUCGUAGAUAUUCGGAAGAACACCAGUGGCGAAGGCGACUCACUGGACAGCUGUUGACGCUGAGGUGCGAAAGCGUGGGGAGCAAACAGG